Long non-coding RNA from Telopea speciosissima, 125 nucleotides. RefSeq lists it as uncharacterized. Lineage: Eukaryota; Viridiplantae; Streptophyta; Magnoliopsida; Proteales; Proteaceae. The record is from RefSeq and is a predicted model, not a curated record. The transcript is spliced from 4 exons.
AUCCAACACAAACACCUGCGGCUUCAUCAAAGCAAGCCAAGGCUUCCCCCAACUCUGUUGACACUAAUUCCGUCACCCAGAGGCUUCAGAAGGAAUUGAUGUCUCUCACGAUGAGUGGGGAGAUC